This 465-nucleotide ribosomal RNA is filed under the name uncultured bacterium. Its description in RNAcentral is "partial 16S ribosomal RNA". It matches the Rfam family "Bacterial small subunit ribosomal RNA", at positions 28 to 507 of the family's 1533-position model. The record is from RNAcentral.
GACGAACGCUGGCGGCGUGCUUAACACAUGCAAGUCGUACGGUAAGGCCCUUUCGGGGGUACACGAGUGGCGAACGGGUGAGUAACACGUGAGUAACCUGCCCACAACUUUGGGAUAACGCUAGGAAACUGGUGCUAAUACUGGAUAUGUGCUCCUGCUGCAUGGUGGGGGUUGGAAAGCUCCGGCGGUUGUGGAUGGAGUCGCGGCCUAUCAGCUUGUUGGUGGGGUAGUGGCCUACCAAGGCGGCGACGGGUAGCCGGCCUGAGAGGGUGACCGGCCACAUUGGGACUGAGAUACGGACCAGACUCCUACGGGAGGCAGCAGUGGGGAAUAUUGAACAAUGGGCGCAAGCCUGAUGCAGCAACGCCGCGGGCGGGAUGACGGACUUCGGGUUGUAAACCGCUUUCAGCAGGGACGAAGCUUUUUGUGACGGUACCUGCAGAAGAAGCACCGGCUAACUACGUG